CUUCCUCGAUCUGCUGCGGACAGAUGAAGUGGAUGUGGGAAUCGAAACCGCCUGCCGUGACGAUCUUGCCCUCGCCGGCGAUAACUUCCGUUCCUGGACCGACGAUGAUGGUGACGCCGGGCUGGGUAUCGGGGUUGCCGGCCUUGCCGAUGGCGACGAUGAUGCCGUCCUUCAGCCCGAUAUCGGCUUUGUAUAUGCCGGUAUAAUCCACGAUGAGAGCAUUCGUGAUGACCGUGUCGACGGCUCCGUCGGCGCGGGCGACCUGGCUCUGGCCCAUCCCGUCGCGGAUG
Molecule: small RNA, 290 nt
Filed under: Rhizobium sp. EC-SD404
Lineage: Bacteria; Pseudomonadati; Pseudomonadota; Alphaproteobacteria; Hyphomicrobiales; Rhizobiaceae
Description: 5_ureB_sRNA
Rfam family: 5' ureB small RNA
Source: RNAcentral